This is a long non-coding RNA of Phlebotomus papatasi, 1896 nucleotides long. RefSeq lists it as uncharacterized. The transcript is spliced from 3 exons. The record is from RefSeq and is a predicted model, not a curated record. NCBI's taxonomy places the organism in Eukaryota, Metazoa, Arthropoda, Insecta, Diptera, Psychodidae.
AAGAAACUGCGUGUGUGAGUGUGAAAAACAAAUGGACUUAUCUCAUUUAGCAGAUCAAACAUUAGCAAUUUCGCGACUUUUCUGCCCAAAUACGACAGUACCUAGUUUGGCUAGUGAGCUUUUAAGUCACUUUUAGUAGACAUUCUGGGUUAGGAAAAGUGUCUGAAAGGUUCUGUACGAGUGCGGUUAAAAGUGUAAAGCAUUAUGAAGUAUGAGAUGGCUGAAAUUAGAAAACUUAUCACCUCGUGCCCUGAUUUUAAGCUCUUUAUCUUUUGUUGUCUUUUCCUAUUGAGUAUCAACUCAUUUCUGGCCAUCUACUUCACCUUUCAGACACUCAAAUCAGCUUAUUGAGCACCACGCUGUCAGUGAGGGAACUAUGGAAAAUUUUGCAUAAUCGUGGAAGCCGAGAGAGAAAUAAAAGUGAAUAAAAAAUGAAGUUAAAAAGAAAUGGCUGGUUAGCUUUUGUGGAAUGUUGCAAAUAAAAGUUGAAAAAAAGGGGAGAGUGAGGCUGCCAUGGACUGGAUUUUCGAACUUUCGGAAUUGUUUUUCUAUCACUUCAUCAAAUAAAUAAGUGAGGUUAGAUUGACUUACAUAAGCAGAGUCUGAGUUGGAUUAAUACAAAAUUUGAUCAAUAUCCGGGUCUAUUGACCGAAAAAUUCUGUCUCAGCUCGUGAUUUUAACCUUAAUCUUAACCUUAGCUGUCUAAAAAUAUUCUCCAAUUUCUGUAUCAAAACAGAUUUAGAAAAAUAAUCACAAAGCAUGGCGCCACUUUUACAGAGUGAAGAUAGCAAUAAAUCUAAAUUUUAUUACACUUUUAAGUGCUACUUAAAAAUAGAGAAAACUCAAUUUUCAUUAUCUAUAAGUUUAAUUCGUCCAAACUUAAAAAUUCAAAAAUAAAUCACCUAAAGUCUGAAGCCCAGCUCAACAAAAUUUCAUUAUUCGAGAUUUGAGUUACUCUUCAAUUUGAGAGCUGUAUAACUUCUUAAUGAAUUUAUAUAACAAAAUCCAACACUUGAAUCAAGAGACGUUUUCAAAACAGAUUAAAAUAACUUUCAAAAAGAAAUUUUGUAAAGUAUCAGCUUAAAGGCAAUUAUGGCUUCUCUUAGUUGUUUCAUUUAUUUUAAUGUUUUCUUAUUUCAAUUAAUAAUAUUUUUAAUUAUGAAAGGGACCCAAAAAAAUCUGGGUUGUUUUUAUCACCGGAUUAUUGAUUCAAAGACGUUUUUGGGUAUGUUCAAAACAGUUUUUGGAAUGGUUCAAAUACGGUUAGUGUGCUAUUUAAAUGAGACAAAAUAAACCGGAUGAACAAACUCCGUUAGGCAAUUUUAAAUUCAAAUGAUAGCUUUAGCAUUUUCCGUCAGAGAUCCUCAUCCAUCAGUCCAGUAUCAGACAUAGUAAAACGAUCUUCAAACUAAAAGUUUAGCCCAGUUCCCAAAGGUUAAAAACCGAAAAUAAUAAGCAAUUUUAUUGGUUUUACAAAAAAUAAUGGAUGUUUUAUCCUUAAUAUCCAAUUCUUCAUCAAUUUUUCUUAAAAAAAAACUCAUGAUUGAUAAUAAUUUAGAGAAGUUAAGCCAUACAGCUGGGAUAUAAGCCCUAGGUCUGACGCCGAUGUAAGAAAUAGUUAACCUAAGGUCUUUUAGUAAUCCCAAAUAUAGGUUCAUCCGGUUCACCGAAGAAUUAUCAUAUGAACUUUAUCCUCUCUCUCUCACUUCCCAAUUAUUUGUGUUCUGGAUCUUACAAAAACAGGAUAAAAGACCCUAUAAGAAUUUUUUAAACAGAAUUUUUACUUUGAAUCCAGAGCUUCAGCGUAUUUUUGGAAUUGACAAUAAGAAGACUUUUAAGUCUAUUUAAGUCUGUCUAUAUAUCCUGAAGAAGAAAUUAUAAAUAAAAAUUUGUAAA